Molecule: ribosomal RNA, 426 nt
Filed under: uncultured bacterium
Lineage: Bacteria
Description: bacterial SSU rRNA
Rfam family: Bacterial small subunit ribosomal RNA
Source: RNAcentral
UGGGGAAUUGCUCGCAAUGGGCGCAAGCCUGACGACGCAACGCCGCGUGGAGGAUGAAGAUUUUCGGAUCGUAAACUCCUGUCGAGUGGGAAGAAUAGCUUUCGGGUGAAUAUCCCGAGAGUCUGACGGUACCACUAAAGGAAGCCCCGGCUAACUCUGUGCCAGCAGCCGCGGUAAUACAGAGGUCCCAAGCGUUGUUCGGAUUCACUGGGCGUAAAGGGUGCGUAGGUGGUCGGGUAAGUCUGAUGUGAAAUCUCCGAGCUCAACUCGGAAACUGCAUCGGAUACUAUUCGGCUAGAGGGUUGGAGGGGGGACUGGAAUACUUGGUGUAGCAGUGAAAUGCGUAGAUAUCAAGUGGAACACCAGUGGCGAAGGCGAGUCCCUGGACAACUCCUGACACUGAGGCACGAAAGCUAGGGGAGCAAA